This 392-nucleotide ribosomal RNA is filed under the name uncultured bacterium. RNAcentral describes it as "partial 16S ribosomal RNA". It matches the Rfam family "Bacterial small subunit ribosomal RNA", at positions 523 to 918 of the family's 1533-position model. The record is from RNAcentral.
AUACGGACGAUCCGAGCGUUAUCCGGAUUUAUUGGGUUUAAAGGGUGCGCAGGCGGCCAUUUAAGUCAGCGGUUAAAUCGUGGGGCUCAACCCCAUUCUGCCGUUGAUACUGGGUGGCUUGAUUGCGGUCGAGGUUGGCGGAAUUCGUUGUGUAGCGGUGAAAUGCAUAGAUAUGACGAAGAACACCGAUUGCGUAGGCAGCUGACCAGACCGCAAAUGACGCUCAUGCACGAAAGUGCGGGGAUCGAACAGGAUUAGAUACCCUGGUAGUCCGCACAGUAAACGAUGAAUACUUGUUUUCGGCGAUAUAAUGUCGGAGGCAAAGCGAAAGCGAUAAGUAUUCCACCUGGGGAGUACGCCGGCAACGGUGAAACUCAAAUGAAUUGACGGGG